CCUACGGGGGGCAGCAGUGAGGAAUAUUGGUCAAUGGGCGCGAGCCUGAACCAGCCAAGUCGCGUGAAGGAUGACUGCCCUACGGGUUGUAAACUUCUUUUAUAAAGGAAUAAAGUGAGGCAAGUGUGCCUUUUUGUAUGUACUUUAUGAAUAAGGAUCGGCUAACUCCGUGCCAGCAGCCGCGGUAAUACGGAGGAUCCGAGCGUUAUCCGGAUUUAUUGGGUUUAGAGGGAGCGUAGAUGGGUUGUUAAGUCAGAUGUGAAAGUUUGCGGCUCAACCGUAAAAUUGCAAUUGAUACUGGCAGCCUUGAGUACAGUUGAGGUAGGCGGAAUUCGUGGUGUAGCGGUGAAAUGCUUAGAUAUCACGAAGAACUCCGAUUGCGAAGGCAGCUUACUAGACUGCCACUGACAUUGAUGCUCGAAAGUGUGGGUAUCAAACAGGAUUAGAUACCCCAGUAGUC
This 460-nucleotide ribosomal RNA is filed under the name uncultured bacterium. RNAcentral describes it as "partial 16S ribosomal RNA". It matches the Rfam family "Bacterial small subunit ribosomal RNA", at positions 338 to 795 of the family's 1533-position model. The record is from RNAcentral.